Hyaena hyaena (striped hyena) is the source of this 452-nucleotide long non-coding RNA. RefSeq lists it as uncharacterized. The transcript has 2 exons. The record is from RefSeq and is a predicted model, not a curated record. NCBI's taxonomy places the organism in Eukaryota, Metazoa, Chordata, Mammalia, Carnivora, Hyaenidae.
CGCAGGAGCGCGGGAUGGGGUGGAAGUCGGGUCGAGCCCGAGCCGCUCGCUUCCUGCCUAUGGGAAAGCAACACUUUACAAAGGAAAUUAGACUUUGGAAACGGUAUAGGCUUCAGUAGAGGUGAGAGGGGGUGAUUUGUUCUCUCCAUGGUUAGCAUUCUGUUACCUUUCUAGCUCCCAGCGAGAUAAACCAGACUGUACCAAUUUGCAUAGUUGUCGGCCUCAGUUCAGGUCUUUGUGGCAGAUCCCAACAGGAAGAGACCGCCCUAGCAGGAGGAAGAAAGAUUUUUCUCUUCUCUCAGCAACAGUCCAGCCAAUGAGAGACUGUCACAACUCAGCCAAUGAAAAGUCAGCAUACUUUGAACUUCCUGUUUACUCCAUUGGACUUUGUGUUUAUAAGGGCUUCUGCUAGCCUUCCCUUUUCCUCUAUAAAGUAGCUAUCCUCUCACUUG